UGAAUGCACUAACUGUAAGUCGCUCUGGAUAAGAGUGUCUGCUAAAUGACUUAAA
Molecule: non-coding RNA, 55 nt
Organism: Salmo salar (Atlantic salmon)
Lineage: Eukaryota; Metazoa; Chordata; Actinopteri; Salmoniformes; Salmonidae
Source: Rfam